AGGGUUCGAUCCUGGCUCAGGAUGAACGCUGGCGGCAUGCCUAAUACAUGCAAGUCGAACGAGAGGAAGAAAAGCUUGCUUUUCUGAAUCUAGUGGCGAACGGGUGAGUAACACGUAGGUAACCUGCCCAUGUGCCCGGGAUAACUUCUGGAAACGGAUGCUAAAACCGGAUAGGUAGCAGACAAGCAUUUGACUGCUAUUAAAGUGGCUAAGGCCAUGAACAUGGAUGGACCUGCGGUGCAUUAGCUAGUUGGUGAGGUAACGGCCCACCAAGGCGACGAUGCAUAGCCGGCCUGAGAGGGCGGACGGCCACAUUGGGACUGAGACACGGCCCAA
RNAcentral lists this ribosomal RNA (336 nucleotides) under uncultured bacterium. RNAcentral describes it as "bacterial SSU rRNA". It matches the Rfam family "Bacterial small subunit ribosomal RNA", at positions 8 to 334 of the family's 1533-position model. The record is from RNAcentral.